Molecule: small nucleolar RNA, 133 nt
Organism: Struthio camelus australis
Lineage: Eukaryota; Metazoa; Chordata; Aves; Struthioniformes; Struthionidae
Gene: SNORA71
Rfam family: Small nucleolar RNA SNORA71
About the family: The members of this family belong to the H/ACA class of snoRNAs which bind a number of proteins (including dyskerin, Gar1p and Nop10p) to form snoRNP complexes. This class of snoRNAs are thought to guide the sites of modification of uridines to pseudouridines by forming direct base pairing interactions with substrate RNAs.
Source: Ensembl
ACCUGCAUUCGAAAGUGAUUUAGGUCUGGUGUGUGACCUGAUCAUUGAUAGUGCAGGAAGAGGAAUUUUGAAAGCGUUUCCCGUGUUUGGUGGGUUCAGUACCGUCCCUCCCAAACCCUGUAGCUUUCAGACA